This 467-nucleotide ribosomal RNA is filed under the name uncultured bacterium. RNAcentral's name for it is "partial 16S ribosomal RNA". It matches the Rfam family "Bacterial small subunit ribosomal RNA", at positions 28 to 507 of the family's 1533-position model. The record is from RNAcentral.
GACGAACGCUGGCGGCGUGCUUAACACAUGCAAGUCGAACGGAAAGGCUCCAGCUUGCUGGAGUACUCGAGUGGCGAACGGGUGAGUAACACGUGGGUAAUCUGCCCUGCACUCUGGGAUAAGCCUUGGAAACUGGGUCUAAUACUGGAUAUGACCUUUCUCCUUAUGGGGUUUGGUGGAAAGUUUUUCGGUGUAGGAUGAGCCCGCGGCCUAUCAGCUUGUUGGUGGGGUGAUGGCCUACCAAGGCGACGACGGGUAGCCGGCCUGAGAGGGUGAUCGGCCACAUUGGGACUGAGAUACGGCCCAGACUCCUACGGGAGGCAGCAGUGGGGAAUAUUGCACAAUGGGCGGAAGCCUGAUGCAGCGACGCCGCGUGAGGGAUGACGGCCUUCGGGUUGUAAACCUCUUUCAGCAGGGACGAAGCGUAAGUGACGGUACCUGCAGAAGAAGCACCGGCUAACUACGUG